This 467-nucleotide ribosomal RNA is filed under the name uncultured bacterium. Its description in RNAcentral is "partial 16S ribosomal RNA". It matches the Rfam family "Bacterial small subunit ribosomal RNA", at positions 28 to 506 of the family's 1533-position model. The record is from RNAcentral.
GACGAACGCUGGCGGCGUGCUUAACACAUGCAAGUCGAACGGAAAGGCCCUGCUUUUGUGGGGUGCUCGAGUGGCGAACGGGUGAGUAACACGUGAGUAACCUGCCCUUGACUGUGGGAUAACUUCAGGAAACUGGGGCUAAUACCGGAUAGGAGCUCCUGCUGCAUGGUGGGGGUUGGAAAGUUUCGGCGGUUGGGGAUGGACUCGCGGCAUAUCAGCUUGUUGGUGGGGUAGUGGCUUACCAAGGCUUUGACGGGUAGCCGGCCUGAGAGGGUGACCGGCCACAUUGGGACUGAGAUACGGCCCAGACUCCUACGGGAGGCAGGAGGGGGGAAUAUGGCACAAUGGGCGGAAGCCUGAUGCAGCAACGCCGCGUGCGGGAUGACGGCUUUCGGGUUGUAAACCGCUUUCGCCUGUGACGAAGCGUGAGUGACGGUAAUGGGUAAAGAAGCACCGGCUAACUACGU